Long non-coding RNA from Cygnus olor (mute swan), 1123 nucleotides. RefSeq lists it as uncharacterized. The transcript has 2 exons. NCBI's taxonomy places the organism in Eukaryota, Metazoa, Chordata, Aves, Anseriformes, Anatidae. The record is from RefSeq and is a predicted model, not a curated record.
GAAACCAAAACCCUGCAUUCCAAGGCUUACUCCAAGUGGCCUACAAAACCUCACUGACCACUGUGGCAAGUGGCACGUCAUGUGUGCCUUUGGGAAUGACUCUUAUUCUUGUCUCUCUGGCUCCACUCCAGUGGCAUCGUGACUUAGGCACGUGGCAGUGGGUCCAGGAGCGUGUGGGGAGCUCUGUCCCUGGUGUUUUCUUCCUGGGAAUGCCAAGCACACAUCCAAUGCCAGCUUGAGAAGGGUCCUGCAGACAAGUCCCAUGGAGCCUCCAGUCAACUCACAGAUGAAGCCCAUAAGACAAACUUCAUGCAUGCACUCCCAGGAGCAUGAAGAUACUACAAGCAUGUAAGAGAACACUGGAGCUCUAAGGCCAUAAUCCUGGAAAUUCCUACAUGGAGGUCCUGUAUACAGGAUUACUUUGUUUCCCUGUACCCCCUGUAUGUUGUGACACAAAGCUCAGUUGGGUGGUCCUAUGAUGGUGUGUGCUGCGGUAUCUCUGACUUGGGAACCUUGGGUCCUGUAGGAGCUCCUGGAGCUGAAUGAGCUCUACUGGCAUGUGCUCUGCUCCUGGAUCAGACAGCGUCUGACCUGCCUGUCGCAUUGCCUGCAAGUCCUUCAUGUCCCAGUCCUGUCUGUCUUGGAAGAUGCAAUGAGAACGUGCAGCCUCCAGACACCGAGGAGAACCACAUCAGAGCUGGAAAUUAAAAUGUCCACAGUGAAAACCAUCCACCUAUGUAAUUAGCUUUUUUUUAAGGAAACUUGACUGGACUAAAAAAUGUGCACAAGAUGACUGGAAGACACGGGGAAAACAAAAUGCAACCUCCUCCUGACCUGGAAACAGAGAAGAUUUCCAUCACUGGUAUGACCAGGCCUUUGUGUAGCUGCUUUCUCACGAAGCAGUUAGAUAUAGUCUAGUCACAGGAUACAAAUGUUACUUUUUGGGGUGCAUUCUUCUACCCUGUAUGGCUUGUACAAUAUUAUUUAACAUUAUUUUUGUUACGCUGUGAGCCUGUACUAAACUGUAAGCAUUACUCGACUAUUGUCAAAUAGAAACAGUUUCGGGUGCUAAAUGCCCAAGGAAAGUGAGUGAAGUAUAUAUACCUAAAAUACAUGAAUAAUU